Long non-coding RNA from Zonotrichia albicollis (white-throated sparrow), 1978 nucleotides. The record is from Ensembl. NCBI's taxonomy places the organism in Eukaryota, Metazoa, Chordata, Aves, Passeriformes, Passerellidae.
CCCCAAAUCUCCAGGUGACACCUGGCUGUCCCCCCAAGCCCUUGGUGGUCCCUGAGGGGGACCCAAACUGUUGGGGACACUUGUUCAGCAGGUGACAGGAGUCACGGGGGGGGGGUGGGCUUUGGAUUCAUCCCCCAGGUGGGGUCACCUGCCCCAAAGAGCUGCCAGGAUCGGGGGGAACACCCCAAAGUCCUGGGGCAGCUUCUGCUCCUCCCGAGGUUGGAAAAGGUGGGAAAAGGUGGGAAAAGGUGGGAAAGCUUCUGCUCCUCCUGUCCCAGGUAGGACCAUCCCCUCCCCAGCCCCCAGUCCUGUCAGACAGGGAAGGGAAAAGGGAAAAGGGGGAAUGGAAGGGGGAAAGGAAGGGAAUCCCACGGAUUUUGGGGGUCCCAGGUACUCACCCACUGCUCCUUCUGGGGUGAGGGACCCUCCCUCUGCACACGGGGCUGGAUGGGGCUCCUGACCCCUGGCCUGGGCUGGGGGCGCCUGGGGACUCCCAGGUUUCAGGGUUCCUGGGGUUUCAGGGUUCCUGGGGUUUUGGGGUUCCCGAGGUUUCAGGGCUCCCAGGGUUUCAGGGCUCCGGCUUUCUCCUGUCCUGGCUGCAGCUCUCAGGAAAUCUGGGUUCAGGCUCUCUGGGUUUUGAGGUCUCUGCGCUCCGACUUUCCAGGAUUUGGGGUCUCUGGGCUCUGGGUUUUAGGGUCUCUGGGCUCCAGCUCUCUGGGUUUUGGGGUCUCCAGGCCCUGGCUCUCUGUUUUUGAGGUCUCUGGCUCUCUGGCUCUUAGGGUCUCUGGGCUCUGACUCUGCAGGUUUUGGGGUGUCCAAGCUCCGGCUUUUGGGGUCUUUGUGCUCCAGUUGUGUAGGAUUUGGGGUCUCUAGGUUCCGUCUCUCUGGGUUUUGGGGUCUGUGGGCUCCGUUUUUUGGGGUCUCUGGGCUCUGACUCUGCAGGUUUUGGGGUCUCCGGGUUUUGGGGUGUCUGUUUUCUGGCUCUUCAGGAUCUGGGGUCUCUGGGCUCCAGCUCUCCUGCUUUUGGGGUGCCUGGGCUCCGGCUCUGCAGGGUUUUCAGGCUCUCUGUGCUCCGGCUCUGCAGGUUUUGGGGUCUCUGGGCCCUGGCUCUCUGGUUUUGGGGUGUCUGUUCUCCGGCUCCUCAGGAUUUGUCGUCUCUGGUUCUCCUGUUUUUGGGGUCUCUGGGCUCCAGCUCUCUGGUUUUCAGGUCUCUGGGCACUGGUUCUGCAGGAUUUGGGGUCUCUGUUCUCCGACUCUGCAGGAGUUGGGGUCUCUGGCUUUGGCUCUGCAGGAUUUGGAGUCUCUGGGCUCCAGCUCUCUGGGUUUUGGGGUGUCUGGGUUCCGUUUUUUGUGGUCUCUGGGCUCCGGUUUUGGGGGUCUCUGGCUCUGUCUCUCUGGGGUUCUGCCCCUCCUGGUUUUGGGGCUCCAGCUCCUGGGGCUCCUCCGAGUUUUGGGGUGCCUGGCUUUGGCCUGGAGGGACACAAAACAUUGGAGAUGUUCCCGUGCUGAGCUUUGGCUGCUCCCAUGCUCCCCAAAAACCUGGGAGCCCCAGGAUCCCCCCAAAAGAUCCCCCCAAAAGAUGGAGGAGUUUGGGCAAAGGUGACUCAUUCAGGAGAAACAGAAAAGUUUCAAGGAGAAAUCCUUGGAUUUCUCUCUGCUGCUGCUGCUGGGAGGAGACACAAAUAACCCGGGAGAGAAGACUAAUUAACGAGCCAAUUAAUCAGACAUUUGUGAUUCCAGGCUGGAUGCAGGUGGGCAUCCAGCUCCAGAUCCUUUCCCCAUCACACAUCCCGAUUUUCACACUUUUUGGGGCAUUUUUUGGCAUUUCAUGUGACAAAUCAUUUAUGCAGAUGGUGGUGAGGGCAGGCAGGGAGGAGCAGGCACGGAGCAACAGAUGGAGGGAAGGCAUAAAAUGCAUAAAAUAUUAACAAAAAUAUUAAAAAAUAAAGAAAGAGGGGGGGAAAAGGUGAGAGAAGGA